Vibrio hepatarius is the source of this 157-nucleotide non-coding RNA. Lineage: Bacteria; Pseudomonadati; Pseudomonadota; Gammaproteobacteria; Vibrionales; Vibrionaceae. The record is from Rfam.
GCAAUCUCGGAAGUGAUUCGAAAACUACGAUUCUGGGGGAUACGCGUGACGUCAUUCGGGCUGAGUGAACAUCACGUAGGGUAGGUAUCGAUAAGUCCUUUUAUCGAUAGACGGGAUACUGUUGUCGCGUAGCGGCAAGUGAAUGGGAAACCCAACA